Sorex fumeus (smoky shrew) is the source of this 133-nucleotide small nucleolar RNA. The record is from RefSeq and is a predicted model, not a curated record. NCBI's taxonomy places the organism in Eukaryota, Metazoa, Chordata, Mammalia, Eulipotyphla, Soricidae.
GUGCAAACUCGAUCACUAACUCUGCAUGAUGUUGCAGAUGUGAGGGGAACCAGGUUUGCUAAAGUAAUUGCAGUGAUAGAAGUGGAUUAACUUCAGAUCCUACUGAGGUUGCUUAUUCUAUCCUUGUACAAGG